RNAcentral lists this ribosomal RNA (492 nucleotides) under uncultured bacterium. RNAcentral's name for it is "partial 16S ribosomal RNA". It matches the Rfam family "Bacterial small subunit ribosomal RNA", at positions 29 to 507 of the family's 1533-position model. The record is from RNAcentral.
AGUGUACGCUGGCGGUAGGCCUAACACAUGCAAGUCGAACGGCAGCACAGUAAGAGCUUGCUCUUACGGGUGGCGAGUGGCGGACGGGUGAGGAAUACAUCGGAAUCUACUUUUUCGUGGGGGAUAACGUAGGGAAACUUACGCUAAUACCGCAUACGACCUACGGGUGAAAGCAGGGGAUCUUCGGACCUUGCGCGAUUGAAUGAGCCGAUGUCGGAGUAGCUAGUUGGCGGGGUAAAGGCCCACCAAGGCGACGAUCCGUAGCUUGUCUGAGAGGAUGAUCGGCCACACUGGAACUGGGACACGGUCCAGACUCCUACGGGAGGCAGCAGUGGGGAAUAUUGGACAAUGGGCGCAAGCCUGAUCCAGCCAUACCGCGUGGGUGAAGAAGGCCUUCGGGUUGUAAAGCCCUUUUGUUGGGAAAGAAAAGCAGCAGGUUAAUACCCCGCUGUUCUGACGGUACCCAAAGAAUAAGCACCGGCUAACUUCGUG